This 301-nucleotide ribosomal RNA is filed under the name uncultured bacterium. RNAcentral describes it as "partial 16S ribosomal RNA". It matches the Rfam family "Bacterial small subunit ribosomal RNA", at positions 509 to 807 of the family's 1533-position model. The record is from RNAcentral.
CAGUCGCCGCGGGAAUACGAGGGGUGCAGGCGUUAUUCGGAUUGAUUGGGUGUAAAGGGUGUGCAGACGGCUUAUCAAGUCACUUGUUAAACUCUUCGGCCUAACUGAAGGUCUGCAGGUGAUACUGAUGAGCUAGAGGGUGGAAGAGAGAAGUGGAAUUCCCGGAGUAGCGGUAAAAUGCGUAGAUCUCGAGAGGAACACCAAUGGCGAAGGCAGCUUCUUGGUCCAUUCCUGACGUUCAUACACGAAAGCGUGGGGAGCAAACAGGAUUAGAUACCCGCGUAGUCCCUGUCUCUUAUAC